Long non-coding RNA from Haliaeetus leucocephalus (bald eagle), 1126 nucleotides. RefSeq lists it as uncharacterized. NCBI's taxonomy places the organism in Eukaryota, Metazoa, Chordata, Aves, Accipitriformes, Accipitridae. The record is from RefSeq and is a predicted model, not a curated record. The transcript has 3 exons.
UGAUAAACUAUCUCCAUGAUUUGGACAAACUGGAUGAACUUAAGUAUUUUGAAAAUAUAUUCAGAUGUUUUACUGUGAUCUGAUUACCAGACAAGCCCUGCUUCAGAGCAGUAGAUGAAUGGCUAGAAAUGAAUGUCUGAAGUCUUGUUUGCACCUGGCAACAAAAGAUGGGCAAAUGUAAAAUACACUGCUUCUGUGACACAGGUAACUUUUCAGAGGAACCUGAGAAUCUGUGACUGGAUACAGUGAAUCAUCUUUAGCUGAAGAAGGAUGACUGAUUUGAAAGCCAAACCAAAGUACAGGUCAUGCCUUGUAACACUUUUUUGCAGAGCAAGCUAGUAAUCCUGCAAAGGUAGCACUUUACAAAUGUAGUUGCAGCCUUGUGCUAUGUUGUCUUUUGUAUCUUGCAAAGAUGCUUUUAUAUAUUAAAAACCUGAAAACAGCAAGUCUGUUUAGCUCAACGCUCAGAGAAUAACAUCCAGUUCUUUAUUUGGGUUCUGAGAACUAUUUAUAGGCAGGAAUUUUUUGUUGCACACCCAAAUUGGGACUGAAAAGGGGUAAGAUUACAGUUCUGUUUUACCAUGUACUCGUAAGUAUCUUGAAGCCAAUAACCCUAAAUGAGCAAACUCUGACAUCUGUUGCUAGCAUAAUUUAAUCUUUUCUACAUUAUUGUAAUAUCACAUUUUAGGCAGGGUUGUGGGUUUUUUUGUUGUUGGGGUUUUUGGUGUUUUUUAAAUCUGCAAUUUUUUCUUAGGCCCUUAGUUUGAGACAACAUAAUGAAAUACAUAGAGUAUCUGUUACAAACAUAUUACAAAUUAAAAGCAUGCUGAACUUGCACCUUUAACACACUUCAGCAUUUAUAUAAAAAAAGGAAAAUUUCAGAACCACAGUCCCUACUAAAAUAAGAUUUCUAAUAUGUAUGUACAAUGAUGGCUGAGCCACAAUGUCACAGAUAAUUCCCAAGAUCCAAAGUGUUAAAAAACACGUAGUCUUUGCCUUCAAACUUUUGUGUUGUUCAUCGUCUGUUUUAUGAAUAAAGAACAAACAGGAUGUAUUUGUGUAAGCUAGGUGAUAGUGAAAAUAUGAAUUCUACCAUUCCUUCACUUUUAAGGAUCACUUCUUAAUA